Molecule: ribosomal RNA, 253 nt
Filed under: uncultured bacterium
Lineage: Bacteria
Description: partial 16S ribosomal RNA
Rfam family: Bacterial small subunit ribosomal RNA
Source: RNAcentral
GACGUAGGGCGCGAGCGUUGUCCGGAUUUAUUGGGCGUAAAGAGCUCGUAGGCGGCUUGUCGCGUCGACUGUGAAAACCCGCGGCUCAACUCCGGGUCUGCAGUCGAUACGGGCAGACUUGAGUGUUGCAGGGGAGACUGGGAUUCCUGGUGUAGCGGUGAAAUGCGCAGAUAUCAGGAGGAACACCGGUGGCGAAGGCGGGUCUCUGGGCAACAACUGACGCUGAGGAGCGAAAGCGUGGGGAGCGAACAGG